RNAcentral lists this long non-coding RNA (347 nucleotides) under Setaria italica (foxtail millet). Its description in RNAcentral is "long non-coding RNA (SITA_LNC003177)". The record is from RNAcentral. Lineage: Eukaryota; Viridiplantae; Streptophyta; Magnoliopsida; Poales; Poaceae.
UGGCUCGGCGGCCAGCUCUUCUCCGCCAUGGUGGUGCGCAAGCCGGCGCACCUCUUCCUCGACGAGCUCGGCAUCGCGUACGACGAGGCCGAGGACUACGUGGUCAUCAAGCACGCCGCGCUCUUCACCUCCACCGUCAUGAGCCGCCUCCUCGCGCGCCCCAACGUGAAGCUCUUCAACGCUGUCGCCGUCGAGGACCUCAUCGUCAAGCAGGGCCGCGUCGGCGGCGUGGUCACCAACUGGGCGCUGGUGUCCAUGAACCACGACACGCAGUCGUGCAUGGACCCCAACGUGAUGGAGGCCAAGAUCGUGGUGAGCUCCUGCGGCCACGACGGGCCGUUCGGGGC